Molecule: long non-coding RNA, 880 nt
Organism: Hemicordylus capensis (graceful crag lizard)
Lineage: Eukaryota; Metazoa; Chordata; Lepidosauria; Squamata; Cordylidae
Exons: 2
Source: RefSeq, a predicted model, not a curated record
CUGCCAGGAGCUGCUGCAAACAGCCCCGGUCAUGCACACGAUAGGGGCUGUUGAGGUUGGAAGGGGCUGUUAACCUUUUACCUUAGUAAUAACCAAGGUUAAAGAAUGGUGUAGCCCUUCUCCAAAGCAGCUGGUUAGGAGUGGGUCCCAAGGCUCCAUAUGAGCCUUUCUACCCUGGGUUUCCUGCUCCUACCCAUCUUGACACAGUCAGGGAACCAAGAGAGCAAGAAAUUAAACUAUUUGGGGCACAUUUACAACAAAGUUGCUUACUGAGGCCUUCAAUAGAGGAGGGAGGAGAGCAAGCCCAACCCAAGCCUGGAAAAAUCCAAGACUUAAGAACUAGUGCCUUAUUCUCCAGGUGCUGGCUGUGAUAGAGUUGGUGAAUUGGUGGUGGAGCCUUUGCCUCGUCUUCUGAAUCAGAGGAUAAAGAGGAUAAUCCAUGCUGAACUUACUUGCUGAGAACUGGGCUGUGCAGUCUGCAGGAACUAUUUCCAUGAUCAUGGCUAAAAGACAAAGUGCUGGUGUUGCUAGCUGCCUCCAGUGCAGGAUGCAUCCACAGAGUGGUUGUGUUGCACGCUCUCCGAGACAAGAGGGACCAUAUGGGGAAAGAGAGCUGUAAACUUGCAUAUGUAAACUACAUCAGUCAGACAGUGCUGCUAUCUGUUGACCAAAUUAAGGUCAGAUUGUGACUCUCUGGGUUGUUCCCCACUUAGCAAAUGCUGAUGAGCAGAGAAGAUAAUGAGAAGUCUAACCAGGGUGGGGGAGAUGAGAAUACUCCAUUCUCAAUAUAUUGGCCCUAAUCUGGUCUGCGUUCGUGUGUGUGCAUGUUUGCCUUAUAUGUAUUAUUAAAACUGUUAUAUGCUGCUUUUUAACAACAAAA